UACGUAGGGUGCGAGCGUUAAUCGGAAUUACUGGGCGUAAAGCGUGCGCAGGCGGCUUGUGAUGUCUGGUGUGAAAGCCCCGGGCUCAACCUGGGAAUUGCAUUGGAAACUAGCGGGCUGGAGUGUGGCAGAGGGGGGUGGAAUUCCACGUGUAGCAGUGAAAUGCGUAGAGAUGUGGAGGAACACCGAUGGCGAAGGCAGCCCCCUGGGCUAACACUGACGCUCAUGCACGAAAGCGUGGGGAGCAAACAGG
RNAcentral lists this ribosomal RNA (253 nucleotides) under uncultured bacterium. RNAcentral's name for it is "partial 16S ribosomal RNA". It matches the Rfam family "Bacterial small subunit ribosomal RNA", at positions 524 to 776 of the family's 1533-position model. The record is from RNAcentral.